This 500-nucleotide long non-coding RNA is filed under the name Junco hyemalis (dark-eyed junco). Its description in RNAcentral is "lncRNA (ENSJHYG00000012951.1)". Lineage: Eukaryota; Metazoa; Chordata; Aves; Passeriformes; Passerellidae. The record is from RNAcentral.
CCACUGCAGCAGAGCUGUGGCCACCAGAAGAAGGACCUGAGCAGCCUCCUGCUGAUAUAACCUCAAUUUCCCACCAAGCCUGAGCAUUUCUGACAGCUGAAAGCAUUUACCAGCGGACUGCUGAGCACAUCAAGAUGGAUACAGUUCUCUUGCUGUUUGGAUUGGGAGGUCCCUGUGCAGAGUUAUUCAGCACUGCCGUUUGUUGUGUAACACCAGUGGGUUCUGUGAUACCGGAGUUCUGCUGGUUCAAAGGAGAUGGCCCUGUGGAGCAUCUUUUUGAUGUCAUGGCUUUUGCUAGAGGCUUUUGUUUAAAGCUUCCCACACACUGUCUGCUCUCUCUCCUGCUCUCCCUCCCGCUCACAUGUGGGAAACAGCAGAGUAAUUUGCAAUAUAAAUUACAAAAUCAACUGUUGAGUUUACAGAUUGAAUAUGCAUGAAAAUAUUGCAUGGUGUUACUGUCUUCCUCAGCCUAAUAAAGGUAAAUAUGUCUGAAAUGUGUA